AGUGAACGCUGGCGGUAGGCCUAACACAUGCAAGUCGAACGGCAGCACAGUAAGAGCUUGCUCUUACGGGUGGCGAGUGGCGGACGGGUGAGGAAUACAUCGGAAUCUACUUUUUCGUGGGGGAUAACGUAGGGAAACUUACGCUAAUACCGCAUACGACCUACGGGUGAAAGCAGGGGAUCUUCGGACCUUGCGCGAUUGAAUGAGCCGAUGUCGGAUUAGCUAGUUGGCGGGGUAAAGGCCCAUCAAGGCGACGAUCCGUAGCUGGUCUGAGAGGAUGAUCAGCCACACUGGAACUGAGACACGGUCCAGACUCCUACGGGAGGCAGCAGUGGGGAAUAUUGGACAAUGGGCGCAAGCCUGAUCCGGCCAUACCGCGUGGGUGAAGAAGGCCUUCGGGUUGUAAAGCCCUUUUGUUGGGAAAGAAAAGCAGCAGGUUAAUACCCCGCUGUUCUGACGGUACCCAAAGAAUAAGCACCGGCUAACUUCGUG
Molecule: ribosomal RNA, 492 nt
Filed under: uncultured bacterium
Lineage: Bacteria
Description: partial 16S ribosomal RNA
Rfam family: Bacterial small subunit ribosomal RNA
Source: RNAcentral